This 208-nucleotide ribosomal RNA is filed under the name uncultured bacterium. RNAcentral describes it as "partial 16S ribosomal RNA". It matches the Rfam family "Bacterial small subunit ribosomal RNA", at positions 568 to 775 of the family's 1533-position model. The record is from RNAcentral.
CAUGUAGGCGGUUGGAUAAGUCUGUUGUUAAAGCCCCCGGCUCAACUGGGGGAGGUCAAUGGAGACUGUCCGACUUGAGGGCAACAGGGGCACAUGGAACUCCCGGUGUAGCGGUGGAAUGCGUAGAGAUCGGGAAGAACACCCGUGGCGAAGGCGGUGUGCUGGGUUGCAACUGACGCUGAGAUGCGAAAGUGUGGGUAGCAAACGG